RNAcentral lists this ribosomal RNA (777 nucleotides) under Microbacterium maritypicum. RNAcentral describes it as "bacterial SSU rRNA". It matches the Rfam family "Bacterial small subunit ribosomal RNA", at positions 25 to 815 of the family's 1533-position model. The record is from RNAcentral. Lineage: Bacteria; Bacillati; Actinomycetota; Actinomycetes; Micrococcales; Microbacteriaceae.
CAGGAUGAACGCUGGCGGCGUGCUUAACACAUGCAAGUCGAACGGUGAAGCCCAGCUUGCUGGGUGGAUCAGUGGCGAACGGGUGAGUAACACGUGAGCAACCUGCCCCUGACUCUGGGAUAAGCGCUGGAAACGGCGUCUAAUACUGGAUAUGUGACGUGGCCGCAUGGUCUGCGUCUGGAAAGAAUUUCGGUUGGGGAUGGGCUCGCGGCCUAUCAGCUUGUUGGUGAGGUAAUGGCUCACCAAGGCGUCGACGGGUAGCCGGCCUGAGAGGGUGACCGGCCACACUGGGACUGAGACACGGCCCAGACUCCUACGGGAGGCAGCAGUGGGGAAUAUUGCACAAUGGGCGCAAGCCUGAUGCAGCAACGCCGCGUGAGGGAUGACGGCCUUCGGGUUGUAAACCUCUUUUAGCAGGGAAGAAGCGAAAGUGACGGUACCUGCAGAAAAAGCGCCGGCUAACUACGUGCCAGCAGCCGCGGUAAUACGUAGGGCGCAAGCGUUAUCCGGAAUUAUUGGGCGUAAAGAGCUCGUAGGCGGUUUGUCGCGUCUGCUGUGAAAUCCGGAGGCUCAACCUCCGGCCUGCAGUGGGUACGGGCAGACUAGAGUGCGGUAGGGGAGAUUGGAAUUCCUGGUGUAGCGGUGGAAUGCGCAGAUAUCAGGAGGAACACCGAUGGCGAAGGCAGAUCUCUGGGCCGUAACUGACGCUGAGGAGCGAAAGGGUGGGGAGCAAACAGGCUUAGAUACCCUGGUAGUCCACCCCGUAAACGUUGGGAA